CAGUCGCCGCGAUAAGACAGAGGAUGCAAGCGUUAUCCGGAAUGAUUGGGCGUAAAGCGUCUGUAGGUGGCUUUUCAAGUCCACAGUCAAAUCCCAGGGCUCAACCCUGGACAGGCGGUGGAAACUACCAAGCUGGAGUACGGUAGGGGCAGAGGGAAUUUCCGGUGGAGCAGUGAAAUGCAUUGAGAUCAGAAAGAACACCAACGGCGAAAGCACUCUGCUGGGCCGACACUAACACUGAGAGACGAAAGCUAGGGGAGCAAAUGGGAUUAGAUACCCCUGUAGUCCCUGUCUCUUAUAC
RNAcentral lists this ribosomal RNA (301 nucleotides) under uncultured bacterium. RNAcentral's name for it is "partial 16S ribosomal RNA". It matches the Rfam family "Bacterial small subunit ribosomal RNA", at positions 509 to 807 of the family's 1533-position model. The record is from RNAcentral.